RNAcentral lists this long non-coding RNA (1227 nucleotides) under Hordeum vulgare. Its description in RNAcentral is "long non-coding RNA (HVUL_LNC000954)". Lineage: Eukaryota; Viridiplantae; Streptophyta; Magnoliopsida; Poales; Poaceae. The record is from RNAcentral.
UCUUGGAUCUUCAAUACAAAGUUCUCCAUGAUCUUCAUGGAGAUCUAUCCGAUGUAAUCUUCUUUGGCGGUGUGUUUAUCGAGAUCCGAUGAAUUGUGGACUUGUUAUCAGAUUAUCUAUGAUAUAUAUUUGAGUCUUUGUUGAUUUCUUAUAUGCAUGAUUUGAUAUCCUUGUAAGUCUCUCCGAGUCUUGGGUUUGGUUUGGCCAACUAGAUCUAUGAUUCUUAAAACCGGAGAAGUGCUUGGUUUUGGGUUCUGCCAUGUGGUGACCUUUCCCAGUGAUAGUAGGGGCUGCAUGGCACACAUCAAGCAGUUUCCAUCAAGGAUAAAAAGAUUGGGUUUUUAACAUUGGUUUGAGAUUAUCCCUCUACAUCAUGUCAUCUUGCUUAAGGCGUUACUCUGUUCUUAUGGACUUAAUACACUAGAUGCAUGCUGGAUAGCGGAUGACGUGUGGAGUAAUAGUAGUAGAUGCAGAAAGUAUCUGUCUACUUGUUUCAGACGUGAUGCCUAUAGAAAUAAUCAUUGCAUAGAUAUCGUCACGACUCUGCACAGUUCUAUCAAUUGCUCGACAGUAAAUUGUUCACCCUCCGUCUAUUUGCUUUCAUGAGAGAAGCCACUAGUAAACACUACGGCCCCCGGUUCUAUUCACAUCCAUCGUUUACAACUCCUCUUUUACUUUGCUUUGUUACUUUGUUGCUUUCAGUUCUCACAUGGCAAACAAUCUAUAAGGGAUUGACAACCCCUUCAUAGCGUUGGGUGCAAGCUUUUGUGUUUGUGCAGGAUCUUGAGAUACUCUUCCGCCGGAUUGAUACCUUGGUUCUCAAUCUGAGGGAAAUACUUACCGCCGUUGUGCUACAUCACCCUUUCCGCUUCGAGGAAACAACAACGCAAGGCUCCAAGGCCAUGGGGGAAAUCCUUUGCAUACUUGCCUAGGAAGUCCCUUAAGGCGUAGCCAUAGCUGAAGGAUUCCUGGUGCCGUCGACACAACUAUUUCGAGCUCCGUUGCAAGGGAUACACAACAAACAUCAGAAGUAUUUUUGGCGCCGUUGCCGGGGAGAAGAAAUCAAGAUCUAUCCAAGUAGGUCUCACAAACUCUUCUCUUGCAUUUACUUUUGUUGCCAGUUGCCUCUCGUUUUCCUCUCCCUCACUUCACAUUUGGCAUUUUCAUUCGCCUUUCGCCUUCGCCAUUUUCUUUUGCCUUUGUCGGUUUUCUUCCUCGCUUGUGUGC